Molecule: ribosomal RNA, 594 nt
Filed under: uncultured Bacteroidota bacterium
Lineage: Bacteria; Pseudomonadati; Bacteroidota
Description: bacterial SSU rRNA
Rfam family: Bacterial small subunit ribosomal RNA
Source: RNAcentral
CAACCUGCCGAUGACUCGGGGAUAGCCUUUUGAAAGAAAGAUUAAUACCCGAUGGCAUAGUUCUUCCGCAUGGUAGAACUAUUAAAGAAUUUCGGUCAUCGAUGGGGAUGCGUUCCAUUAGGUUGUUGGCGGGGUAACGGCCCACCAAGCCUUCGAUGGAUAGGGGUUCUGAGAGGAAGGCCCCCCACAUUGGAACUGAGACACGGUCCAAACUCCUACGGGAGGCAGCAGUGAGGAAUAUUGGUCAAUGGACGAGAGUCUGAACCAGCCAAGUAGCGUGAAGGAUGACUGCCCUAUGGGUUGUAAACUUCUUUUAUACGGGAAUAAAGUGUGGCACGUGUGCCUUUUUGUAUGUACCGUAUGAAUAAGGAUCGGCUAACUCCGUGCCAGCAGCCGCGGUAAUACGGAGGAUCCGAGCGUUAUCCGGAUUUAUUGGGUUUAAAGGGAGCGUAGGCGGACGCUUAAGUCAGUUGUGAAAGUUUGCGGCUCAACCGUAAAAUUGCAGUUGAUACUGGGUGUCUUGAGUACAGUAGAGGCAGGCGGAAUUCGUGGUGUAGCGGUGAAAUGCUUAGAUAUCACGAAGAACUCCGAUUG